Molecule: long non-coding RNA, 726 nt
Filed under: Sinocyclocheilus grahami
Lineage: Eukaryota; Metazoa; Chordata; Actinopteri; Cypriniformes; Cyprinidae
Description: lncRNA (ENSSGRG00000049469.1)
Source: RNAcentral
CUAGAGCAUGAUUUGUGUCCGGUCCGGUCCGUUGAAGCAGUGAUGCAUCCGUUGAGAAUCUGUAUGGUUGUUAACAUUUUAACUCUUUGGUUUAAAAUGCUGAUGCUCUAGUUGCCCGUUCUUUAGUGAAUGCCUUAGUCCUGCUAAACACAAUCCCUAGACACUCCUAGGACGUAACACCUGGAGUGUUUGAAAAGAAGUUUAUUCCACCGGUAAUGUUCAACCUCGGAAAAAGGAUCAACCUCUCAGCGACAGGAUUCAGGAUGACAGAUAGCACUAGGUGGAUUUCCCAAGGGAACAACGCCACAGCUGACAUACACAAGUCUCGGGGUGGCAGUAGAGUUUCUGGGAUCUGUGGCGGUUAUUGUGGAAAAUGCACUCCCUCCUCCAGCUCUGGACGUCUUGUUGACGUUUCAUACAUCAACGUCGCUAGUUGACGUUGUUACACUUGCAUCAAGUGUACUGGUGAGGUCUGCUGACAAAUGUCUAAUUUAAUAUUAUUAUUAUUUUUUUUUUUAAAAGAAAAAUUCUAUGUGUAUGAUUUUUCAAGUGCCAUACAAUUCACUUAUGAGCCAAGUGUUGAAUACCAGUAUAGGUUCUUUGGCAUCUAUUUCACUGGGUUGUAUUUAUACACUACUGUUAAAAAGCUUAUGGUUGUUUAUUUAUUUUUAUGUUUUGAGAAAUAAGUCUCUUAGACACCAAAGCGUCAUUUAUUUAAUCAAAAAU